GGUUGUGGCUCAGUGGUAGAGUGCUAGCCUAGCAUGUGUGAGGCACUGGGUUUGAUUCUCAGCACUG
This 67-nucleotide transfer RNA is filed under the name Marmota monax (woodchuck). RNAcentral describes it as "tRNA.Ala". The record is from RNAcentral. Lineage: Eukaryota; Metazoa; Chordata; Mammalia; Rodentia; Sciuridae.